Molecule: small nucleolar RNA, 87 nt
Organism: Malania oleifera
Lineage: Eukaryota; Viridiplantae; Streptophyta; Magnoliopsida; Santalales; Ximeniaceae
Product: small nucleolar RNA snoR53Y
Exons: 1
Source: RefSeq, a predicted model, not a curated record
GUUCCCGGUGAUGAUUUUAUGUAGACCAUGCUAAUGCUGAUUCUCCCAUGAUUAUAUCACCUUCUUUUCUCAUUUUCUGAGGGAACU